GUUUAUAUAAUUUAAAUAAGAUAUUAGACUGUGACUCUGAUUAUGAGAGUUAAAACCUCUCUAUGGACCGAAAAGAGUUAGAAACACAG
Molecule: transfer RNA, 89 nt
Filed under: Aneides flavipunctatus (black salamander)
Lineage: Eukaryota; Metazoa; Chordata; Amphibia; Caudata; Plethodontidae
Description: partial tRNA-His
Rfam family: tRNA (bases 1-69)
About the family: Transfer RNA (tRNA) molecules are approximately 80 nucleotides in length. Their secondary structure includes four short double-helical elements and three loops (D, anti-codon, and T loops).
Source: RNAcentral